Molecule: ribosomal RNA, 469 nt
Filed under: uncultured bacterium
Lineage: Bacteria
Description: bacterial SSU rRNA
Rfam family: Bacterial small subunit ribosomal RNA
Source: RNAcentral
GAGUGAACGCUGGCGGCGUGCUUAACACAUGCAAGUCGAACGAGAACGGAUUAUAGCUUGCUAUAAUUGUCAGCUAAGUGGCGCACGGGUGAGUAAUAUAUAGGUAAUGUGCCCUAGAGAAGAGGAUAACAGAUGGAAACGUCUGCUAAGACUCUAUAUGCCUUUAUGACAAAAGUCAGCAAGGGAAAUAUUUAUAGCUUUGGGAUCGGCCUGUACAGUAUCAGUUAGUUGGUGAGGUAAUGGCUCACCAAGACAAUGACGCUUAACUGGUUUGAGAGGAUGAUCAGUCACACUGGAACUGAGACACGGUCCAGACUCCUACGGGAGGCAGCAGUGGGGAAUAUUGCACAAUGGACGAAAGUCUGAUGCAGCAACGCCGCGUGGAGGAUGACACAUUUCGGUGCGUAAACUCCUUUUAUAUGGGAAGAUAAUGACGGUACCAUAUGAAUAAGCACCGGCUAACUCCGUG